CCUACGGGUGGCAGCAGUGGGGAAUAUUGCACAAUGGGGGAAACCCUGACGCAGCGACGCCGCGUGAGUGAAGAAGUAUUUCGGUAUGUAAAGCUCUAUCAGCAGGGAAGAAGAAAGACGGUACCUGACUAAGAAGCCCCGGCUAACUACGUGCCAGCAGCCGCGGUAUUACGUAGGGGGCAAGCGUUAUCGGGAUUUACUGGGUGUAAAGGGAGCGUAGACGGGAGUGCAAGUCUGAAGUGAAAGGCCAGGGCUCAACCCUGGGACUGCUUUGGAAACUGUGGAGCUAGAGUGCUGGAGGGGUAAGUGGAAUUCCGGGGGUAGCGGUGAAAUGCGUAGAGAUUAGGAGGAACACCAGUGGCGAAGGCGGGUUACUGGACAGUAACUGACGUUGAGGCUCGAAAGCGUGGGGAGCAAACAGGAUUAGAUACCCUUGUAGUC
Molecule: ribosomal RNA, 441 nt
Filed under: uncultured bacterium
Lineage: Bacteria
Description: partial 16S ribosomal RNA
Rfam family: Bacterial small subunit ribosomal RNA
Source: RNAcentral